AGAUACCUACACCACCAUCAAGUCAAGAUGAUAUGGAAGAAGAGACAUAAAACAAAAAAUGUAAUCUCAUGUGAUUGAUCUACUAGUCGUGGAAGUUGAUAAAGCGGUUGAUUGAAAAAGGAAAUGCGUCAUAGCUAAUAGCUAUUGUUUGAGAACCAAUCAUAGGAUGAUAAAUAUGAAGUGUUUUCAUUAUAAAUUUUGUGAGUAAAAUAUUUUAGCAAUCUUUACUCAAAAAGUUUACUCACAAGUUUUACUUUAAUUUUUAUGCUAAAUAUUUUGUAAACGUGAUUUUUCUUUAAGUGUAUUUUGAUUUUUUCGAUUUUCAUUUUUUCUCAUGAUUGCCAUCAUUAUAAAUUUCAUUAUAAAUUUUGUGAGUAAAAUAUUUUAGCAAUCUUUACUCUAGAAGUUUUCUCACAAGUUUUACUUUAAUUUUUAUGAUAAAUAUUUUGUUAACGUGAGUUUUCUUUAAGUGUUUUUUUUAUCAAACUUGUGAAUAAUUAGGGUUGAUGGUAAUACAAAACAGUUUGAUAGAGCUUCAUUUUUCACUAUUUUUGGUUUUAUAGAGGGUGAAAAUCAAGUCGUCCUGAGCCUAUCGAAAAUGAAUCGCUGCGAAUCGGUUGAAGAAUGAUAUAAAUUGCUUUGGUAAAGCUUGAUUUUUUACCAUUUUUAGCGUUUUGGUUUUAGAGCCCCAAGUCCUAUACUACUGGCGUUUGAAGGAAAUACUGACAACAGGGAGAAUGGCGGACCUAUUUACACACAUAAAGGCGGUGAAAAUGUAUUCUUUACAACCCUCAUAACCUCCAUACAGGACAUUUUAAUCCAUAUCUUUAGAAGGAGAGUAAGUGACCGUUUUGAAUAAGAGAGAGCGAGAUCUGUCUUUGAAUCAUUGAGUUUUUUUGGUCCUCGGGACGACUUUGGUCAAAUAUUGAGGUCAAAUCCUAAGGUCACACAGUUCUAGGAAAAAAGAAUGAAGAAAGCAGUGACAGUCAAUAUACAGAUUGGAACAAUAUGAAGAUUCAAGAAGCUUCCCAGAGGUUGUCGUUCACACUGUUGUCAUCAGUCAAGCAGUGGUC
Long non-coding RNA from Stylophora pistillata, 1073 nucleotides. The record is from RefSeq and is a predicted model, not a curated record. Lineage: Eukaryota; Metazoa; Cnidaria; Anthozoa; Scleractinia; Pocilloporidae.